AAGUCGUAACAAGGUAACCGUAGGUGAACCUGCGGUUGGAUCAUUAAAAAAUCCAAGGCGAGAGCUACUUCGGUAGUGUCUCUGCCUAAACUGGCCUCCGGGCCUCAAACCUCUUGUGAACUGUUUAUUGACUCUGGUUAGUUACUUUCGAGUGCUAGCCGGCCAAUUAUUUUAAACCUAUAUUUUUUGUCUUAUACAAAGAUGUAAAUCUUAACAACUUUUGACAAUGGAUCUCUAGGCUCUC
RNAcentral lists this unclassified non-coding RNA (244 nucleotides) under fungal sp. RNAcentral's name for it is "partial internal transcribed spacer region". The stretch from base 1 to 46 matches the Rfam family "Eukaryotic small subunit ribosomal RNA", at positions 1786 to 1831 of the family's 1831-position model. Lineage: Eukaryota; Fungi. The record is from RNAcentral.